Long non-coding RNA from Canis lupus familiaris (dog), 389 nucleotides. RefSeq lists it as uncharacterized. The transcript is spliced from 3 exons. NCBI's taxonomy places the organism in Eukaryota, Metazoa, Chordata, Mammalia, Carnivora, Canidae. The record is from RefSeq and is a predicted model, not a curated record.
AUAGCCAGAAGAGAAAUAGAGAUAAUACAGCAGGAAAUAAAAUUCAAUGUGGAAAAUACAUUUCAAGAGGAGAAUAAAGCUUGUGCCCCAAGGUGGCCAAAAUGGAGAGCAGAGCCACCAGACCUACAGAGACAGGGAAUGUCUCCUUGGCACCCAGGAGAGCAGAUGUCUAGAGGAGUCUUCAACAAAUGCAGGAUGAUGACAGGAGAGGAGAGAGAUCCCUAGGAAUGGCUAUGCUUGAACUUCACACCAGUCUGUAUUAUCCUUGAGCACUUUCUAUGCAUGCUCCAAGCACUGUUGGAUACCAGGGAGGAAAGAUGAAUAAGAUGUCCUACUUUGGAGGAACUCUCAGUCUACUGGAGGAAUCUACAUGCACAGAGUAAGGUAUG